UCCUUCCCUAGGCUCAUCCCACAAAUGUUUACUGAAUAUCUACAUGUUUCAGGCAGAAAACCAGCCCCUACCCACCCCUCUGUAGGAUCUGCUUCCCUGGUAUGACCAUUCUUUUCUGGACAACGACAGGAGUGGAUAAUCCAAUAAUGCGUGGUGUCUCAUCUCAGUACUUCUGUGUUAGGCACGCUAGUAUAUUAAGACGCUGAAAGGCCUUACCAGAACGUUCACCACAUCUACAGUGGUGGAUCUAACACAUACUGGGAUCUGAGGGCCACCGUUUCUACAGCACAGAGGAUUAAGGACGGCAGUGUAAACGUGGUCUGGCAAUUCCACUGGACUUUGUCAUCCAAGGUCAGCGAUGGGACUUAGAAAGCCACCGAGGAAUGUGACAGGCAAGACAAGACCUGGAUUUUGUAUUUGGGUUUAAAACCCCCGGAGCAGGGAGACACUAGGUACCCGCAGUUCUCAGCGCUGGACAGUGCAUGUGAGGCGAACGAGAUGAUGCAGCCUUGGAUGCUCAUGGAGAAGCUGUUCUACACAGUUGUAGCUUUAUAACCGUCAUGGACUGAAGGCUGGCUCCCGUUCUAGAAGCCUCAUCCCAGGAAGCAGACUGCUCUUCCAGAGACUGCUACAGCAUGUCAUUGCCCUCCCCACCCUUGAAAGUUAGAAGCUUGGGCAAUUCUUGGCCAAGGAAGGAAAAGACAAGCAUUUUCAGUAAAGCUGCCAUGGACGUAA
RNAcentral lists this long non-coding RNA (735 nucleotides) under Rattus norvegicus (Norway rat). Its description in RNAcentral is "long non-coding RNA NONRATT017313". The record is from RNAcentral. Lineage: Eukaryota; Metazoa; Chordata; Mammalia; Rodentia; Muridae.